UACGAAGGGUGCAAGCGUUACUCGGAAUUACUGGGCGUAAAGCGUGCGUAGGUGGUUUGUUAAGUCUGAUGUGAAAGCCCUGGGCUCAACCUGGGAACUGCAUUGGAUACUGGCUUACUAGAGUGCGGUAGAGGGUGGCGGAAUUCCCGGUGUAGCAGUGAAAUGCGUAGAUAUCGGGAGGAACAUCCGUGGCGAAGGCGGCCACCUGGACCAGCACUGACACUGAGGCACGAAAGCGUGGGGAGCAAACAGG
Molecule: ribosomal RNA, 253 nt
Filed under: uncultured bacterium
Lineage: Bacteria
Also listed under: 1 other name
Description: partial 16S ribosomal RNA
Rfam family: Bacterial small subunit ribosomal RNA
Source: RNAcentral